UCUGCGCGGAAAAUGUAACGGGGCUAAGCGUAACACCGAAGCUUGGGAUGCACGUAAGUGUGUGGUAGGGGAGCGUCGAAUGAGGGGUGAAGUCGUAGCGGAAGCAGCGGUGGACUUCAUUCGAGUGAGAAUGCCGGAAUGAGUAGCGAGAAUUAUGUGGGAAUCAUAAUGGCCGAAAAUCUAAGGUUUCUUGGGGAAGGUUCGUCCGCCCAAGGUAAGCCGGGAGCUAAGGCGAGGCCGCGAGGCGUAGUCGAUGCACAUACGGUUGAAAUUCCGUAGCCACCGAAACUUAAAUCAGAGGGACACUUGGAGCUAGCUGGACCCGGGCGUUGGUUGACCCGGGCGAAAGGGACCGAAAACAAGUAGGGAAGCCAGUGAAUGACGAGGCGAGAAAAGCUCUGAUGUAUGCUAAGGUGCCCGUACCGCAAACCGACACAGGUAGAUGAGGAGAGAAUCCUAAGGCCAACGGGAGAAGGGUUGUUAAGGAACUCGGCAAAAUUACCCCGUAACUUCGGGAUAAGGGGAGCCCCCGUGAGGGGGCCGCAGAGAAUAGGCCCAAGCGACUGUUUACCAAAAACACAGGUCUAUGCUAAAUCGAAAGAUGACGUAUAUGGGCUGACGCCUGCCCGGUGCUGGAAGGUUAAGAGGAGGGCUUAGCGCAAGCGAAGGUCUGAAUUGAAGCCCCAGUAAACGGCGGCCGUAACUAUAACGGUCCUAAGGUAGCGAAAUUCCUUGUCAGGUAAGUUCUGACCCGCACGAAUGGCGUAACGAUUUGGGCGCUGUCUCAACAGCCCACCCGGCGAAAUUGUAGUACUGGUGAAGAUGCCAGUUACCCGCAACUAGACGGAAAGACCCCAUGGAGCUUUACUGUAGCUUAAUACUGAGGAUUGGUAAAUGAUGUACAGGAUAGGUGGGAGACUUGGAAGUCAGGGCGUCAGCUUUGAUGGAGUCAACCUUGGGAUACCACCCUUCAUUUGCUGGUUUUCUAACCUGCGGCCGUGAAUCCGGUCGGGGGACACUGUUAGGUGGGCAGUUUGACUGGGGCGGUCGCCUCCAAAAAGGUAACGGAGGCGCUCAAAGGUUCGUUCAGCACGGACGGAAAUCGUGCAGUGAGUGUAAACGCAGAAACGAGCCUAACUGCGAGGGUGACAAUCCGAGCAGUAACGAAAGUUGGAGUUAGUGAUCCGGCGGUAUGUGAGUGGAAAUGCCGUCGCUCAACGGAUAAAAGCUACCCUGGGGAUAACAGGCUGAUCUCCCCCAAGCGUCCACAGCGACGGGGAGGUUUGGCACCUCGAUGUCGGCUCGUCACAUCCUGGGGCUGAAUUCGGUCCCAAGGGUUCGGCUGUUCGCCGAUUAAAGUGGCACGCGAGCUGGGUUCAGAACGUCGUGAGACAGUUCGGUCCCUAUCUGUUGCGGGCGAAAGAGAUUUGAAGGGAGCUGUCCUUAGUACGAGAGGACCGGGAUGGACAGACCUCUGGUGCACCAGUUGUCGUGCCAACGGCACAGCUGGGUAGCUACGUCUGGACGAGAUAAACGCUGAAAGCAUCUAAGCGUGAAACUCCCCCUAAGAUAAGAUCUCUCAUCCCUCGAGGAGUAAGGCGCGUCGUAGACUAUGACGUUGAUAGGUCGGAGGUGUAAGCACAGCAAUGUGUUGAGCUGACCGAUACUAAUCCGCCGAGGGCUUGACCUG
Molecule: ribosomal RNA, 1690 nt
Filed under: Pseudoflavonifractor sp. An184
Lineage: Bacteria; Bacillati; Bacillota; Clostridia; Eubacteriales; Oscillospiraceae
Description: Bacterial large subunit ribosomal RNA
Rfam family: Bacterial large subunit ribosomal RNA
Source: Rfam by way of RNAcentral